Molecule: ribosomal RNA, 253 nt
Filed under: uncultured bacterium
Lineage: Bacteria
Description: partial 16S ribosomal RNA
Rfam family: Bacterial small subunit ribosomal RNA
Source: RNAcentral
UACGUAGGGUGCAAGCGUUAAUCGGAAUUACUGGGCGUAAAGCGUGCGCAGGCGGUUGUAUAAGUCAGAUGUGAAAUCCCCGGGCUCAACCUGGGAACUGCAUUUGAGACUGUACGGCUAGAGUUUGGCAGAGGGGGGUGGAAUUCCACGUGUAGCAGUGAAAUGCGUAGAGAUGUGGAGGAACACCGAUGGCGAAGGCAAUCCCCUGGACCUGUACUGACGCUCAUGCACGAAAGCGUGGGGAGCAAACAGG